Molecule: RNase P RNA, 427 nt
Filed under: Nitrospira sp.
Lineage: Bacteria; Pseudomonadati; Nitrospirota; Nitrospiria; Nitrospirales; Nitrospiraceae
Description: RNase P RNA component class A
Rfam family: Bacterial RNase P class A
About the family: Ribonuclease P (RNase P) is a ubiquitous endoribonuclease, found in archaea, bacteria and eukarya as well as chloroplasts and mitochondria. Its best characterised activity is the generation of mature 5'-ends of tRNAs by cleaving the 5'-leader elements of precursor-tRNAs.
Source: RNAcentral
UGUGAAGGCUGGGUGAUCGCUCGAUGCUUCGGUGUCGAGAGGAAAGUCCGGACUCCAUGGGCAGGGCGCUGGGUAAUUCCCAGGCGGAGCGAUCCGACACCAGCACCACAGAAAACAAACCGCCGAUGGCCGAUGUGACGGGAUAUUCUCUUGAUCACUGAGGCUCAGGUAAGGGUGAAACGGUGGGGUAAGAGCCUACCGCGGUGGUGGCGACAUCACCGGCAGGGUAAGCGUCGCCCGGUGCAAGGCCAAAUAGGAAGACAUUUACGGGACGCCAUGUGCGUGUCGUAAGCCGACUGGCCCGGUCGAGGUCUUCGGGUAGGCUGCUUGAGGUUUGAGGUAACUCAAAUCCCAGAGAAAUGAUCAUCCCCGUGAAGCGGGCGACUGCUUUGCGGGACAGAAUCCGGCUUAUAGGCCUUCAUGUCCG